GUGGGGAAUAUUGGACAAUGGGCGAAAGCCUGAUCCAGCAACGCCGCGUGAGGGAUGACGGCCUUCGGGUUGUAAACCUCUUUCAGCAGGGACGAAGCGCAAGUGACGGUACCUGCAGAAGAAGCACCGGCCAACUACGUGCCAGCAGCCGCGGUAAUACGUAGGGUGCGAGCGUUGUCCGGAAUUAUUGGGCGUAAAGGGCUCGUAGGCGGUCCAUCGCGUCGGGAGUGAAAAGCUGGGGCUUAACCCCAGUCCUGCUUUCGAUACGGGUGGACUAGAGGUAGGCAGGGGAGAAUGGAAUUCCUGGUGUAGCGGUGAAAUGCGCAGAUAUCAGGAGGAACACCGGUGGCGAAGGCGGUUCUCUGGGCCUUACCUGACGCUGAGGAGCGAAAGCAUGGGGAGCAAACAGGAUUAGAUACCCUAGUAGUCC
RNAcentral lists this ribosomal RNA (430 nucleotides) under uncultured bacterium. Its description in RNAcentral is "bacterial SSU rRNA". It matches the Rfam family "Bacterial small subunit ribosomal RNA", at positions 354 to 796 of the family's 1533-position model. The record is from RNAcentral.